Non-coding RNA from Benincasa hispida (wax gourd), 745 nucleotides. The record is from RefSeq and is a predicted model, not a curated record. NCBI's taxonomy places the organism in Eukaryota, Viridiplantae, Streptophyta, Magnoliopsida, Cucurbitales, Cucurbitaceae.
AUGAUUUUGAUUAGAAAUAUUUCCUUUUCUCUCUCUAAGGUAAUGAAGAUGAAAGAGAAGAAGAAAUUGAACAACAAUAUGUACGUGGUUCGACCUAAGAUGACUUACAUCCACAGAAAGAAAAAAUACACUUUAUUGAAGGCUUUUUCAAGAAGAUAAGUCUGCUUCUUCAUAUUUUCUUUUUACAGUAGAAGUUCUGUGUUUAAAAUUGUUUGUAGAACUAUUAAUAUGGAAAAAGAAAGAUUAUUACAAAUUUGUUAAAUAGAUUGUUGUAGUUUAAUGAACUAGCCAUUGAGAUCAUUGUUACUUCAAAUCUCUACCUUAAUCUUAACCUUGUAGCCUUCAUCCUUCCAGAUAUGAUUUUUUUCUAACCUUUUUCAGGUAACAGAAAACUGAUUUGCUCGAGACAUUUAGUAAGCUUGAGCUUCGUAAUGGGCUUGGUAAGCAUAUCAGCUACAUUUUUGGAGUGUCCUCUACAAGUUGGGAGCACCGAAUGUGGAUACUACGUCAUGAGGUAUAUGAGGGAUAUUGUGACCAAAAGAAGCAUUAUAAUCUCAGAUUUGGUAUGUUAUCGUUAAUUUGACAUUUUAGAUAGUGUAGGGAAGAGUAGAAUUCAUUAUAAUAUUUGGCUUUUAUGUUUAUAGAUUAUACAAGGAACCCAUACUCACUUUGAGUUGGUUGAAUUUUUGGGUUACUACAUGGGAUUGUAGGUGCUCAUAUAAUUUGGUCAUUUUGAAUGUAUUUG